Molecule: ribosomal RNA, 430 nt
Filed under: uncultured bacterium
Lineage: Bacteria
Description: bacterial SSU rRNA
Rfam family: Bacterial small subunit ribosomal RNA
Source: RNAcentral
GGGCCCGCACAAGCGGUGGAGCAUGUGGUUUAAUUCGAUGAUACGCGAGGAACCUUACCAGGGCUUAAAUGGGAGAUGACAGGGGCAGAGACGCCCUUUUCUUCGGACAUCUUUCAAGGUGCUGCAUGGUUGUCGUCAGCUCGUGCCGUGAGGUGUCAGGUUAAGUCCUAUAACGAGCGCAACCCCUACCGUUAGUUGCCAGCGAUUCAAGUCGGGGACUCUAACGGGACUGCCGGUGCAAACCGUGAGGAAGGUGGGGACGACGUCAAAUCAUCACGGCCCUUACGUCCUGGGCUACACACGUGCUACAAUGGUCGGUACAGAGGGAAGCUACCCCGUAAGGGGAUGCGGAUCUAUAAAACCGAUCUCAGUUCGGAUCGGGGUCUGCAACUCGCCUACGUGAAGGAGGAAUCGCUAGUAAUCGCAGGUC